RNAcentral lists this ribosomal RNA (861 nucleotides) under uncultured archaeon. RNAcentral's name for it is "bacterial SSU rRNA". It matches the Rfam family "Archaeal small subunit ribosomal RNA", at positions 474 to 1337 of the family's 1478-position model. The record is from RNAcentral.
CACCCGCAGCUCGAGUGGUGGUCACUUUUAUUGAGCGUAAAGCGUUUGUAGCCGGUUUUGCAAAUCUUCAGAUAAAUUCCUCUGCUUAACAGAUGAUCUUCUGAAGAGACUGCGAGACUUGGGACCGGGUGAGGUUGAAGGUACUUCCGGGGUAGGGGUAAAAUCCUGUAAUCCUGGAAGGACGACCGGUGGCGAAGGCGUUCAACUAGAACGGAUCCGACGGUGAGGAACGAGGGCUAGGGUAGCAAACCGGAUUAGAUACCCGGGUAGUCCUAGCUGUAAACACUGCCCACUUGGUGUUGCCCCCCCGAUGAGGGGAGGCAGUGCCGGAGCGAAGGUGUUAAGUGGGCCGCUUGGGGAGUAUGGUCGCAAGGCUGAAACUUAAAGGAAUUGGCGGGGGAGCACCGCAACGGGAGGAGCGUGCGGUUUAAUUGGAUUCAACGCCGGAAAACUCACCGGGAGCGACCUUUGGAUGAGAGUCAGCCUGAUGAGCUUACUCGAUAGAAGGAGAGGUGGUGCAUGGCCGUCGUCAGCUCGUACCGUAGGGCGUUCACUUAAGUGUGAUAACGAGCGAGACCCCCAUCUCUAAUUGCUAACGUGCACUCGCGUGCACGCGCACUUUAGAGGGACCGCCAGUGCUAAACUGGAGGAAGGAGGGGUCGACGGCAGGUCAGUACGCCCCGAAUCUCCCGGGCAACACGCGCGCUACAAAGGGCAGGACAAUGAGUUGCCACCUCGAAAGGGGGAGCUAAUCUCGAAACCUGUUCGUAGUUAGGAUUGAGGGCUGUAACUCGCCCUCAUGAAUGUGGAUUCCGUAGUAAUCGCGGGUCAACAGCCCGCGGUGAAUAUGCCCCUGCUCCU